UACCUACAUAUAAGAUUAGAGGAUGCAUGGGGCCACCCAAGAAGCUGCACCUGUUAGGAAUUGCGACAUCGCGCACACCUGCGCUUCCAGAGAGUGUUGCGGCAAUCAUCGCCACCGCGACGCUGCAGCUACCCCGCCGAGGAGGACGAGCACUCUUAGUUCUAACAUCGAACGGGAGGGACGUAGGUUAAGUUAGGAGUAAUUUAUUAUGUAAUUUUUUUUACAAUAAAUAAUUUAAAGUAAAUUUCGGUUUUUUUUGCGCCUUCGCGGGCCGGUCGAUAUAAUUGGCGCAGUCUUGUGGAUGAUCCUCGAGAGCCGUCUCUCGGAACGCGAAACUACAAGCAUCGAGAAUUGCCAUUCCAUCGGAGGGACGACGACGGGGACCAAGAACCUACAUCUAUUGGCCGCCGCAACGCGAAGGGUAUCCGAACAUUGAUACUGCAAGAAAGGCCGAAAUGAAAAUCCUAAUCCUUCCUCUGAUCCUGUGCCAGAUUCAAGCAGAAGAUCCCACCCUGACUAGCUUGGAUGACGGACCUGGUAUAUUACCAUUUAAUAUUGGAACUGCUAGAAUUGUCACUCAUUAUCAUUCAUUUUUGCAAAUUAUUAAUUUAAAGGAUAUUCGUGAUAGUAUAACCAUAGUAAAGGAUCAAUUAAAUUCAUUAACGCCUAA
Colias croceus (clouded yellow) is the source of this 670-nucleotide long non-coding RNA. RefSeq lists it as uncharacterized. The transcript is spliced from 2 exons. Lineage: Eukaryota; Metazoa; Arthropoda; Insecta; Lepidoptera; Pieridae. The record is from RefSeq and is a predicted model, not a curated record.